AAUUCAGUGAAUCAUUGAAUCUUUGAACGCACCUUGCGCCUUUUGGUUUUCCAAAAGGCACACCUGUUUGAGUGUCAU
RNAcentral lists this ribosomal RNA (78 nucleotides) under Gerwasia pittieriana. RNAcentral's name for it is "partial 5.8S ribosomal RNA". It matches the Rfam family "5.8S ribosomal RNA", at positions 78 to 154 of the family's 154-position model. Rfam says of the family: 5.8S ribosomal RNA (5.8S rRNA) is a component of the large subunit of the eukaryotic ribosome. It is transcribed by RNA polymerase I as part of the 45S precursor that also contains 18S and 28S rRNA. Lineage: Eukaryota; Fungi; Basidiomycota; Pucciniomycetes; Pucciniales; Phragmidiaceae. The record is from RNAcentral.